GGAUGUGAGGAUGAUAUGGCUGUAAUGUCUGUCACCGCAUUGUUCUCUGGGGUUGGGAUUGCUCACCUGGCUGCGGAGGCAGGUGAAGCCUUUGUCCCUCACCUCUCCCACCGUGCGCAUCCCUCCCGAAGCUGAAGCUGCUGGCUCACACUCUGCCUGGGUGGAAGAGGACUGCCCUCGAUCAAGGAGGAUCUUUCCUCAGUUAAAGGUAUGAAAGGAGCUGCUCUUCUCUGCUAAAGCCUCCAAACAAGCUCUCAAAAUAUCUCACAAAAAAAUCAGUAUCUAAAAUACUGAUUU
RNAcentral lists this small nuclear RNA (297 nucleotides) under Octodon degus (degu). Its description in RNAcentral is "7SK RNA (ENSODEG00000025755.1)". It matches the Rfam family "7SK RNA". From Rfam's summary of the family: 7SK was discovered as an abundant small nuclear RNA in the mid-70s but a possible function has only recently been suggested. Two independent studies have found that 7SK RNA binds the CDK9/cyclin T complex (known as elongation factor P-TEFb). The record is from RNAcentral. Lineage: Eukaryota; Metazoa; Chordata; Mammalia; Rodentia; Octodontidae.